UGGUGGAGUGAUUUGCCGGGUUCAUCCCGUUAAUGACCGAGACCUUAACCUGCUCAGUAGUUACACGAAGCUCUGGUUACGUGGGCAACUCCUUAGAGGGACUUUGCGUGUCUAACGCAAGGAAGUUUGAGGCAAUAGCA
RNAcentral lists this ribosomal RNA (140 nucleotides) under uncultured eukaryote. Its description in RNAcentral is "partial 18S ribosomal RNA". It matches the Rfam family "Eukaryotic small subunit ribosomal RNA", at positions 1299 to 1458 of the family's 1831-position model. The record is from RNAcentral.